Molecule: ribosomal RNA, 253 nt
Filed under: uncultured bacterium
Lineage: Bacteria
Description: partial 16S ribosomal RNA
Rfam family: Bacterial small subunit ribosomal RNA
Source: RNAcentral
UACGGAGGAUGCAAGCGUUAUCCGGAUUCAUUGGGUUUAAAGGGUGCGUAGGUGGAAUGAUAAGUCAGUGGUGAAAUCCUACAGCUCAACUGUAGAACUGCCAUUGAUACUGUCAUUCUUGAGUAUGGUUGAAGUGGGCGGAAUGUGACAUGUAGCAGUGAAAUGCAUAGAUAUGUCACGGAACACCCAUAGCGAAGGCAGCUUACUAGGCUGUAACUGACGCUGAGGCACGAAAGUGUGGGGAUUAAACAGG